AGUCACUAUUCUGCAGGAUGGAACUCAAGUGCAGCUAAUGCCACUAAGUUCCAGAAAUAUCUCGCCGCAGAAAAUGGAGGAGGAGCUGAUCUUGUUGCCAACUGUACUUCAGCUUCAGCUUCAGGUUGGGAAACAUUCAAGCUAUGGAGGGUCAGUGACACACCC
Molecule: non-coding RNA, 165 nt
Organism: Arachis ipaensis
Lineage: Eukaryota; Viridiplantae; Streptophyta; Magnoliopsida; Fabales; Fabaceae
Source: RefSeq, a predicted model, not a curated record